RNAcentral lists this long non-coding RNA (1832 nucleotides) under Nicotiana benthamiana. RNAcentral's name for it is "long non-coding RNA (NBEN_LNC002791)". The record is from RNAcentral. Lineage: Eukaryota; Viridiplantae; Streptophyta; Magnoliopsida; Solanales; Solanaceae.
AAAUAUGAACACACGUUUAGUAUAAUGCCUUGAGAACGUGUUUCCAACAGUUUUUGGUUUAUAGAACUUACCUCCAAUCAAUCUUCUUUGAAACCCUCUUCAAUUUUCCCAAACAGCUCUCAAAAUGCCUAAUAAUGGAGGAAAAUAUGACUAAGCUCGUGGAGGAAAUGUUUAAAAACUAUUCUGCCCAACUCUAAUUUUUAUUCAAUGCAAUCGCGGCCCCAGGCACGCGAUUUCGAAUAGCAAUUUCCCAAGCCUCCAAAAAUGUGCUAUGCAAACGCGACCUUUCUGAUGCGAACGUGAUGCCUUGACUUUUCAAUCUACGCGAAUGCGGCGAACGCAAUGGACAAGUAUGAUGGGUCCUAGGUCCUCUUACGCGAUCGCGAACUUCUUACUGCGAAAGCAAAGUACCAAGAAUUCACCUUCCGCGAUCACAGACCCCUUAUCGCGAACACGUAGAACAAAACUCCAGCCUGCCAAAAUCCUUCUAUGUGAUUGCGGCCCCAAGCUCGCGAUGACCAAAAUACCCCUACACAACUGCUGCAAUUUUUGCAAUAACUCAAAGUCCAAAUCCUCCCGUUUAGCCACCCGAAAUCACCCAGAGAUCCCCAGGACCUCAACCAAAAGUACCAACACACCCUAAAACAUCAUUUAAACUUGUUCCAAUCAUCAAAACACCUCAAACAACACCAAACCAAACAAAUUACAUCAAAUCAAGCCUAAGUUCUUCUAAAACUCUACCAAACAACGUCCGAAUGAUCUGAAAUAUUGCACACACAUCCCAAAUGACAUAACUAAGCUAUUGAAACUCUCGGAAUUCUAUUCCGACUCUCGGAUCAAAAUCUCACAUACCAACCGAAAUUCGCCAAAAUACUAACUUCAUCAAUUCAAGCCAAAUUUCACACCGGACCUCCAAAAUUAAUUCCGAUCAUAAUCCUAAGUCAUAAAUCACCUUACGAAGCUAACCAUAUCAUAAAAAUUUCGAUUCGGGCUCAUAUGCUUAGUUAACUAUUGGUCAAACCUUCCAAAUUCCAAGCUUUCAGCUGAAACUGUUCCUUCAAAUUUAUUUUGAUUAACAUGAAACCAAAACCAACGAUUUACAUAAGUUAUAAUACACCACAUAUCAAAUCAUGCCCGAGAACUGACGAUAAAAGUGCAAAAGUUUAAAACGACCGGUCGAAUCGUUAUACUAUGCUUUUCUACUACAAUGUUUAAACUCAAAAAUAAAGAAAUAAAAAUUAGUCAAGAAUAAAAUCCAAAAGUAUUUUGAUGUAGGAUGUUUGUCAGACAUAAAAUUCUAAAGAACAUUAUUUUUAUUGUAUAGAACACCAUCACUUCUUCAAACAUUCGAGAAUACAAUAGCAAAUAGCAUGGUUUAGUGAGUAAAGUUUUAACACAGCCAAUUUGGAUACAAACGUGACUUAAAGUGUGGAUUUUUCACAUCACCUCAGUAUCAGAAAAUAUUCUAUGCGCAUUCCACUAUAACAGAUAAAACAUAAACUUAAGACAUGCUUUUUUUAAGCAAAUACAAUUCCUUUAAGUGAAGAACAUGAUCAAAAAGUCGGAUUUUACCUUUUAUGGGGCAGUGAACUUGGGGCUUGCGAUGCUUCAGAUCUAUUCCUCUUUUAACUAAAUCGAAUUGAACUGACAUUGAAAGAUUAAACAACACUAAGGUCUUCCAGAUAUGAUAGUCAUAUCAAAUGAACAACUUAGCUUGGAGAUUCUUUUAGAUACUAAAACUUUAUUUUUUAGAGGGAUUCCAAGAUCGAUCUCGGCUGAAACUUUCGAGAGGUAUUUAUAGGUGCAUCCCCAAGUUAUAGCUACAGUUUCUG